CCUACGGGAGGCUGCAGUGAGGAAUAUUGGUCAAUGGGCGCAAGCCUGAACCAGCCAUCCCGCGUGCAGGAAGACGGCCCUAUGGGUUGUAAACUGCUUUUCCGAAAGGCGAAACUCAGCGACGUGUCGUUGAUUGACGGUAUUUCGGGAAUAAGCAUCGGCUAACUCCGUGCCAGCAGCCGCGGUAAUACGGAGGAUGCGAGCGUUAUCCGGAUUCAUUGGGUUUAAAGGGUGCGUAGGCGGACUAAUAAGUCAGUGGUGAAAUCCUGCAGCUUAACUGCAGAACUGCCAUUGAUACUGUUAGUCUUGAGUUUGGUUAAGGUAGGCGGAAUGUGUAAUGUAGCGGUGAAAUGCUUAGAUAUUACACAGAACACCAAUUGCGUAGGCAGCUUACUGGACCGACACUGACGCUGAGGCACGAAAGCGUGGGGAUCGAACAGGAUUAGAUACCCCUGUAGUC
RNAcentral lists this ribosomal RNA (460 nucleotides) under uncultured Bacteroidota bacterium. RNAcentral's name for it is "bacterial SSU rRNA". It matches the Rfam family "Bacterial small subunit ribosomal RNA", at positions 338 to 795 of the family's 1533-position model. The record is from RNAcentral. Lineage: Bacteria; Pseudomonadati; Bacteroidota.